GGAGACCGAAGAGAUAUGGCCGCCAGUUCGCGCACGCGCAAGAGCCCACCUUUGCUUCCGGUUUCUAGGCCGCGCACAGCGGCCUCUCAAACUGUUACAGAGUCAAAGAAAUCAAGCAUUGUUGUCUUGGUCAGUAAUGAUUAUCAAGAAUGCUGGCCUCCAGAAAAAACACAGCGCUGUGGAUACCCUGGAUGUAUCCCAGUGAGAC
Long non-coding RNA from Suricata suricatta (meerkat), 208 nucleotides. RefSeq lists it as uncharacterized. The transcript has 3 exons. NCBI's taxonomy places the organism in Eukaryota, Metazoa, Chordata, Mammalia, Carnivora, Herpestidae. The record is from RefSeq and is a predicted model, not a curated record.